This 2886-nucleotide long non-coding RNA is filed under the name Olea europaea (common olive). RNAcentral's name for it is "long non-coding RNA (OEUR_LNC014193)". The record is from RNAcentral. Lineage: Eukaryota; Viridiplantae; Streptophyta; Magnoliopsida; Lamiales; Oleaceae.
GAAUUAUGAAAGUUUAAGUGUGUCAAACUGAUACCGCUGAUCUAUGUAAAAUAAUAAAGCAAGGGUCAAACACUAGUCAACGACAUAAGCACGUAAAAUAAAUGGGGGUAAAGGUGAAAAUAUGACAAGGGGAUUUAAUAACGUGAAUUUUAUGUAAAGGCGGCAGCACAAAAGUUAAUCGAUACAAUUCAAGAUAAACAACAAUAUAAACAGAGGAUAAAUAAAAACGACAACUUUCCUUUCGUUCGUUUGAAGAGGCUAUGUCCAAUCAAUUAGAAUGAAAGAGGUACCUGAAAAAUGAUGUUAGAAAAAUAACUUAUAUAUAUGUGUGUGUGUGUGUGUGUGUGUGUGUGUGUGUGUGUGUGUGUGUGUAUAUAUAUAUACACAAAUAAAACUUCUAAGCAAAUGGGCCAAAACGGGCAUACAAACGGGGGCCCAAAACAAAGCUAAAAUACAAAACACUCGAAUUACACAAUAUAACCAAAACAGGGCCGAACCUAAGGCCCAAAACAUAACGGACUGAACACAGGAAACUUCAGUCCAUAGAAUCUCCUUAUUUGGCUUCGUCUGUAGCUUUGAUGCUUGAUAAGGUGUUGGCCACUGGUAGCGAGAUACGGCUGUAGCGUAUGGAUGGCAGAAGUAUGGUUGUUGUUUCUGUGUAGAGAAGAUGAAGUUUGGGUAGUAGUGGAGGCAGCGGAAAGAUGAAGGUUGGGUGUUUGGACCGAGAAAUGAUGUUUGAUUGUGGCAGCCAAAUUUGGGAAGAUGUUUUGUGAUUGACGGGUAGCAAUUUUGGGUAUGGUGUUCUUGAGAUGUGGGUAGCGAUUGUGAAAAAGGAACGGUUGCUGCGUCAACGGUGGUUCGAUUAAACAGGGAGUACGUUAGACGGUGGGGGUCCAAGAAGAGAUUUGGUGGGCGGAGGUGGUGCCGAUGAGAUGGAUGGACGAUUAUCACUACGCCUUCCAUACGGAGUCUUAGUAAUCGACUCGUAAUCUCGAACUAAGGAAUAAGCGUGAUCAAGAGUGGUGACACCUCGAAGGACAAGCUCACGCCAAAGAUCAUCUCUUAGGCCUUUUCUGAACCUACUUAAAGUCAUAGCUUCAUCCUCGAUGUAUCAUCGCAUUCGGAGCUCAUCAAAUUGAGUAACAUAGUCAGUCACUAGUCGGUUUCCUUGUGUGAGGGUAUUCCAAUGGUCCAACAAGUUGCUCCGAUAAAAGUGGGGUAAAUAUUUCUCUUGAAGGCGGCGCUUUAUUUCCUCCGAACUUCCAACGGGAGGUGCAUGAUGCCUCUCAAGAAGGUCCUCAACAAUUUCCCAAAAGAGUUGGACAGUGCCAUUUAAUUUCAAGCUGACAAAUUGAACUCUUCGAUCCUCUGGGACUCCAUACCAGGAAAAGAAAUGAUCUAUGUCUCUAAUCCAUUGUGUAAAAACUCUAGGAUCUAAACAGCUAUCGAAAGUAGGAGCGUCUAAUUUGAUGUUUCGAAAACAACGCUUCUCAUAACGAGGAGGUGAAUGAGUACCAUAAUGGUCAUGGUCUCGUUCAUGAUCGCGCUCCUGUUCUCCAUUGCUUCACCCAUGACAAAUACGCUGUCGACCACCAUGUCGAUGACGUUCAGAGUUAUCAGCGUUGGUUGAGGGAGAGGUUUGUUCUAAAUUGUUCACCCUAGCAGCUAGUUCUCUACUCUCUUCACAAGUAGCAGUCAUCUCGGUUUGGACGGUUGGUAAUUGAGCCUGUAGUUGAGCUAAUUGUCGAGUAAGGGCAUCAAAUUAAGAAGGGUCCAUGAUCACAGUAUUGGAAUUGGGUAUGACAAAAUGACCACUAUGCAAAUGCAUGCAAUGUAACACUAAUUGAAUGCAGUGAAUGACGAGAUCAAUAAACAACUAGUUCAAGAAAUGAGAAUAACAACUACAGCAUUUAAAUAAUAAUAAUUAUUAUUAUUAUUAUUUUUGGAAUUAUGAAAGUUUAAGUGUGUCAAACUGAUACCGCUGAUCUAUGUAAAAUAAUAAAGCAAGGGUCAAACACUAGUCAACGACAUAAGCACGUAAAAUAAAUGGGGGUAAAGGUGAAAAUAUGACAAGGGGAUUUAAUAACGUGAAUUUUAUGUAAAGGCGGCAGCACAAAAGUUAAUCGAUACAAUUCAAGAUAAACAACAAUAUAAACAGAGGAUAAAUAAAAACGACAACUUUCCUUUCGUUCGUUUGAAGAGGCUAUGUCCAAUCAAUUAGAAUGAAAGAGGUACCUGAAAAAUGAUGUUAGAAAAAUAACUUAUAUAUAUAUGUGUGUGUGUGUGUCUCUCUGUGUGUGUGUAUAUAUAUAUAUACACAAAUAAAACUUCUAAGCAAAUGGGCCAAAACGGGCAUACAAACGGGGGCCCAAAACAAAGCUAAAAUACAAAACACUCGAAUUACACAAUAUAACCAAAACAGGGCCGAACCUAUGGCCCAAAACAUAACGGACUGAACACAGGAAACUUCAGUCCAUAGAAUCUCCUUAUUUGGCUUCGUCUGUAGCUUUGAUGCUUGAUAAGGUGUUGGCCACUGGUAGCGAGAUACGGCUGUAGCGUAUGGAUGGCAGCAGUAUGGUUGUUGUUUCUGUGUAGAGAAGAUGAAGUUUGGGUAGUAGUGGAGGCAGCGGAAAGAUGAAGGUUGGGUGUUUGGACCGAGAAAUGAUGUUUGAUUGUGGCAGCCAAAUUUGGGAAGAUGUUUUGUGAUUGACGGGUAGCAAUUUUGGGUAUGGUGUUCUUGAGAUGUGGGUAGCGAUUGUGAAAAAGGAACGGUUGCUGCGUCAACGGUGGUUCGAUUUUCAGUAGCGGCAGUCGGCUACUUCAAAGCUGAGUUCGCAAUUGAGUUCGGAUUAUGGGUAUUAUAUGAUUGGGGCUUAAUGGGCUGUU